RNAcentral lists this ribosomal RNA (466 nucleotides) under uncultured bacterium. RNAcentral describes it as "bacterial SSU rRNA". It matches the Rfam family "Bacterial small subunit ribosomal RNA", at positions 329 to 793 of the family's 1533-position model. The record is from RNAcentral.
CCCCAGACUCCUACGGGAGGCAGCAGUGAGGAAUAUUGGUCAAUGGCCGGAAGGCUGAACCAGCCAAGCCGCGUGAGGGAGGAAGGCGCAGAGCGUCGCAGACCUCUUUUGCCGGGGGACAAAAGGCCGGACUCGUCCGGUCCUGAGGGUACCCGGAGAAAAAGCAUCGGCUAACUCCGUGCCAGCAGCCGCGGUAAUACGGAGGAUGCGAGCGUUAUCCGGAUUCAUUGGGUUUAAAGGGUGCGCAGGCGGGCCUUUAAGCCGGGGGUGAAAUCGCGGGGCUCAACCUCGCUCCGCCGUUGAAACUGGCGUUCUUGAGUGGGCGAGAAGUAUGCGGAAUGCGUGGUGUAGCGGUGAAAUGCAUAGAUAUCACGCAGAACUCCGAUUGCGAAGGCAGCAUACCGGCGCCCAACUGACGCUGAAGCACGAAAGCGUGGGUAUCGAACAGGAUUAGAUACCCUUGUAA